RNAcentral lists this long non-coding RNA (2129 nucleotides) under Triticum aestivum (bread wheat). Its description in RNAcentral is "long non-coding RNA (TAES_LNC017773)". Lineage: Eukaryota; Viridiplantae; Streptophyta; Magnoliopsida; Poales; Poaceae. The record is from RNAcentral.
UUGUGCUGUAGCCUUUCUUUUUCUUUGUUUUGUCAAGGUCAUGUUCUUCAGAUUUCAAUAUACCAAUACAGAAAACCGACACAAUACUUCAAAUAACGGCAAGAAGCAAUCUGCUACAUCAUAUAACAUACAUACAAAUGUGAUAAGCAUCAAGUUUACAAUUAUAUAACAGCUCUACAAGUAUACGGUCUACCACACGAGUCUAUCACAUGAGCCCUACAAGUUCUGCUACAUCAUAUAAAACACAUACAAAUAGGAUCAGCCUAAAGGGUUUCAUUGCUCCCAGAACUAGCUCCAAUGAGCUAGAACUUAUGCUUCUUCCAACUUCUUUUUCCUGAUGCUCGUGAAGAAAGAUGAAAGGCCAGCAUCUGCACGUUACAGAACAAAAUGAUUAGGAACAAAAUAAAAGUAAAUCUAACAGCAUAUUUACUCCGCAAGGAACCACAACAUAUUUCUGCAGAAAAAGAACAUGUAUGCAAACCAACCACCAAACAAAUAACGAGUUGGUUCAUCUUAUACCAGAAUAAAAAAGAACAUCGACAAGGAAUAGAAGCAUUCCUUGGUUUUCAAGCACACCAAUUCAUAAACAUGAUUUGGAUAUGGAAAAGACAAACAUAGCAACAAGAGAUAAUCAUAGUAAGUCAGCCAUCCUACUAUUCAAUAAAUGGUUCAGAUUUCACCGUAACAAAACACUUAACAACCUCAACACUUGUAUUUUUGCUUGCUGCAAUCUAGACAUCAUCACCACAAGUUCUAUGAUGCAUCCAAACUAGUGAACUUUGUGCAUAGAUCGGAUCGAAUCGAAGAGAGAAGGGGAAGGGAAGGGCUACCUUGAGGAUCUAAUCGAAUCAGCCUGCUUAUUCUUGCCAUCUUGUGAACAGCCUUCUUCUUCCUGCCAUCAGCGGAAAGGUUUUUAAGUACAACAGGAGAAAUGUUUCAUACAGCGAAAAGGGGGACUUGAUCAACAUCGACUAACUUCACAAAAUAAAACACCUAUCCAGGCAAUAAUUUCCCCCUGAUUUAAUAAGACAGCAUGCCUGUUAAAAAAACUAGGCUCAUUUACUUCUUCAUGGGAUUCAGAUAAAAAAGGGUUCAAAAAGGGUUCAAUAAUGAGAUACAGUAUUUUACAAGCUCUACAAGUGUUAUGUUCUUCAGCAUGGAGCUCCUUCGACAGCUUUACUGGACGACCUGUUACAUGAAUCAACAGAAAUGAAUCAAAAAAAAACUGGAGCCAAUAUACUAUGAGCAGACCUUUCAAAAAAGGACAGUUAUUAAGAAUGCCAACACAAAUUCAGCUAGUACCAUGCUUUUGGUUCUCCAGCUAGUUAAAAUGAGAUACUCAUUCAUACAAGAAAACAGAGACACAAUAUGAAAAUUCAUUGCACAAGUGCAGGUCAUGCAAAAUACUUCACUGCAACACAUUGCACCUAAACUUCGCAGAAGAUAUAAUUAUAAAAUUCAGUUUGCUACUCUUAACAUUGGAAAACAACUGUGGGUUUGUUCUGAUCACAGAAGAUAGAACUGAUAACAUUAGUUUGCUGCAACUCUGUAGUGGAUUUGUUUUGAUCACGGAAGAUAGAAUUGUUAAAAUUCAGUUUGCUCUACUAUCAUUCAAUAACUGCAUCUGCAGCGGAGACAAGUUCUCUUACCCAGAGAGCCGACGUGCAUGGACUUGCGCAUCAGAUGACAGAGUCGCCGGACUAUCAUCAAUACCAAAUUCCCAAACUCAAUAUAAAACCAGAGAAGUAACAGCCAACUGAAAAGGUAUAUGAAGACAAGGAGUGAGCAUAAACAGCGAUUUUAUUUACUUUUACUAGUUAGUGGAGGGGUGAUGCACAAGGAGUUGCAACUAUCUGAAAAACUGACACACGUGAGCUAGGAAGCAAGCAUUGGAUCAAAAUUGGAAAGCGUACGUGACUACGUACAACAUCUGAUUAUAUAAGCAACUGUACAACACAGCUAUGUGCUAAUUGCAGGCCCGUUUGGAUGCAAAGUAUUUUUGAAGCAUUACUAGAAUACCAUAGUUUUUGAAAAACUGUAGUUUUGAAUACUUUGAGGCGUUUGGCUAUACCAAAACUGCAUUUUCAUAUACAGUGGUAUUGUUGUUACUGUGGUUUUCUUGGAGUAUU